This 263-nucleotide ribosomal RNA is filed under the name uncultured bacterium. RNAcentral describes it as "partial 16S ribosomal RNA". It matches the Rfam family "Bacterial small subunit ribosomal RNA", at positions 794 to 1055 of the family's 1533-position model. The record is from RNAcentral.
GUCACGCCGUAAACGAUGUCUACUAGCCGUUGGGAGACUUGAUUUCUUAGUGGCGCAGCUAACGCUUUAAGUAGACCGCCUGGGGAGUACGGCCGCAAGGUUAAAACUCAAAUGAAAUUGACGGGGGCCCGCACAAGCGGUGGAUCAUGUGGUUUAAUUCGAUGCAACGCGAAGAACCUUACCAGGUCUUGACAUCCAGAGAACUUGGCAGAGAUGCCUUGGUGCCUUCGGGAGCUCUGAGACAGGUGCUGCAUGGCUGUCGU